RNAcentral lists this long non-coding RNA (645 nucleotides) under Anas platyrhynchos platyrhynchos (common mallard). RNAcentral's name for it is "lncRNA (ENSAPLG00000027562.1)". Lineage: Eukaryota; Metazoa; Chordata; Aves; Anseriformes; Anatidae. The record is from RNAcentral.
AUGGUGUUUUGUUUUUUUUUUUCAGAGACAUUCAGGCACCUUUCCAACUUCGUGCAUACUCUCAGGAAUUUAAAAUUAAUUUCCAGAUACAUCUACAAUGCUGUGCCUUCAAGUGGUGCGUACUGGAAGAUCACUAUAUUAUCAACUUGGCUGGCUGCUUCUACUGUCUCUCUCUCACUUGGAGAGGUGUACUGCAAUGGAGCAUGUCAGCAUAGGAGAGCUGGAGUUUCCUUGGUCCAGUUCUCUGAUGCUACCUACUUUCUCCCAGAAGACCCAUAUUUUCCUCUGAAGCAGAAAGAUCUUGAUGUACAGAAAGGUCUCAAAAGCAAAAAUCACUGAGGAGCUCGAGUCAGGGCUGACAACCCGUGUGUUACAGUAACUAGAUGGAAUGCAACAGCUCCAGAAAACUGCCAAGAAGCAAGCAUAAAAUCUAGGCAUCCGGGAGGCAGCUGGGCUUCUUAAUUAUUGGCAAAUAUAUUUAUAUAUAAAUAUUUUGCCAAGCGUGAUUUGGCUUAAGAGUUCCUGUGAAGUGACCUUUUGCUUUCCUUUGUUUUGUGUCUGUACACAUGUCCUAGAUAGAUACAUGGAGAGAGAGGCAGAGACGCACAGACAGAGAUAAAUAAACGGAUUUCACACAGCCCUCCA